CAUAAGUGGUAUUCCCCUAGUAGCGGCGAGCGAAGCGGGAAGAGCUCAAAUUUAUAAUCUGGCACCUUCGGUGUCCGAGUUGUAAUCUCUAGAAGUGUUUUCCGCGUUGGACCGCACACAAGUCUGUUGGAAUACAGCGGCAUAGUGGUGAAACCCCCGUAUAUGGUGCGGACGCCCAGCGCUUUGUGAUACACUUUCAAUGAGUCGAGUUGUUUGGGAAUGCAGCUCAAAUUGGGUGGUAAAUUCCAUCUAAAGCUAAAUAUUGGCGAGAGACCGAUAGCGAACAAGUACCGUGAGGGAAAGAUGAAAAGCACUUUGGAAAGAGAGUUAACAGUACGUGAAAUUGUUGGAAGGGAAACGCUUGAAGUCAGACUUGCUUGCCGGAGCUUGCUUCGGUUUGCAGGCCAGCAUCAGUUUUCCGGGGUGGAUAAUAACGGUUUGAAGGUAGCAGUCUCGGCUGUGUUAUAGCUUUCCGUUGGAUACAUCCUGGGGGACUGAGGAACGCAGCGUGCUUUUUGCGAAAGACUCGUCUUUUUCACGCUUAGGAUGCUGGUGGAAUGGCUUUAAACGACCGUGAAAAAAAAGGCAAAAAAAAAAAAAAAGU
This 604-nucleotide ribosomal RNA is filed under the name Rhodotorula glutinis. RNAcentral's name for it is "partial 26S ribosomal RNA". It matches the Rfam family "Eukaryotic large subunit ribosomal RNA", at positions 65 to 683 of the family's 3401-position model. Lineage: Eukaryota; Fungi; Basidiomycota; Microbotryomycetes; Sporidiobolales; Sporidiobolaceae. The record is from RNAcentral.